UCUGUCAGCAUUUUGUUUAAAAUAAAUAUGGAAUUGUCUUGUAAAAUUAUGGGAAACUGAAAAAAAGGUUGAGUCAUUCAGGUUGGCACUUGGCCAGGAAAAUCAUGUGACACUUCUGCACAUGGGCGAAGUUCAAUUUGCUGCAUCAUGCUUCUGUAAUGCAAAAGUGUGUAAGUAAGUUGCUGACUAGGCUUUUUUGUUGCAUUAAUGUAUGGAGGAGCAGCCAGUCACUUUGUCGGAAGGAAUUGUGAGAAUCUGCCAGUUCUGAAGUGCUACUGGCCCCAGGUUCUGUUCUUGGCUCUUCUUAUUUGGAAAGGAUCACAAUGCGAAUAGAAUGAAAAAUGUGUGCUUGAGAUCUCAGAUAAUUGUUGCCAGUCGGAGCAGAUUGACCAGAGAGGCCAACCAGAUGUUCACAACCAGAACAGGAUGGAGAUUGCACUUCCUUUUGUUUGCUUUCAACAUGAGAUAAUAAGAGAUUCGCAAAGGAAAAUGAAAGCCUAAACCAUGGAUUACUUGGAUGGUGACAUAUUACUGAUUUCUUGGCAGUGUGAUGGACACAACUGUAGAGGAGACGGAUUGAAGAUGAAGGGGUGUAAUCAAAGAGGUUUGUGAUUUAUCUGUUGCUGAUAAGUUAAAACUCUUGGUACAUACCAUUCUGCCCGGACUGUGAAAAUCUGAAAAAUUCAGGUAAGCACAAGAUGACAGACACACCUUGAGCUAACUCUACAAAGAACUUUGAACAAUAUUCUGUGCUAUUUGUAUCUGGAGCUGGCUUUUUCCUACAAGGUAUUAACUCCUGUCCAGUCAGCAUUGCAGUUUACCUUACUUAAUUGUGAUGCAGUUCACUACUUCACUGUGAUGCUGUUCACUAUACAUGAGCCAGGGUUAUGAACUGAAGUUGAAACUAAAGGACUGAAGAUGAAACUGAGCAUGUUUCAGUUUGGAAAGUGCCUAGAUAGAAGAUCUCAUAGGAACUCUAUGUAUAAUUGCAUAGAAGGAAGCUGAGAUAUAAACAACUUUCCUUUCAUUAUCUACUGAUCCUGUGCUUUUAUAUCU
This is a non-coding RNA of Pogona vitticeps (central bearded dragon), 1056 nucleotides long. The record is from RefSeq and is a predicted model, not a curated record. NCBI's taxonomy places the organism in Eukaryota, Metazoa, Chordata, Lepidosauria, Squamata, Agamidae.